RNAcentral lists this ribosomal RNA (417 nucleotides) under Triticum aestivum (bread wheat). RNAcentral's name for it is "partial small subunit ribosomal RNA". The record is from RNAcentral. Lineage: Eukaryota; Viridiplantae; Streptophyta; Magnoliopsida; Poales; Poaceae.
AUGAACGUUACCCUCAUGUUGCGUUGGGUCUGGCGGAUCUUGCGGGGAGAGGGUGAUCUAUGGCUACAGCUUCUCCAGGCGAAAUAUCUUAGAGGCGAUCCACUCCUGGCUUGUUCUCGCCCAGAUGGCUCCCAGUUCUGGAAAUCCAUCCAGAAGAUCAAGGCGGAGAUCCAUCUUGGGGUCUUUUUCUCUAUAUGUAAUGGAGAAGGGGCCCAAUUCACGCUGCAUCCAUGGGUUGGGAGCGUGGCUCUUCGGGUGGAUUUCCCAAGCCUAUUUUCUUGCAUUGACCCGAGGAUCCUAGUUUCCGAAGCCUUCCAAAAUGGGCAGUGGAACAUCUUGUUCUGUCGCACAUUUGGGCAGGUGGAAAUUGUUGAGUGAGCUAGAUUGCGGGCAGCCCCCCAUCCCCGCCGGUGUUGA